This 462-nucleotide ribosomal RNA is filed under the name uncultured bacterium. RNAcentral describes it as "partial 16S ribosomal RNA". It matches the Rfam family "Bacterial small subunit ribosomal RNA", at positions 28 to 507 of the family's 1533-position model. The record is from RNAcentral.
GAUGAACGCUGGCGGCGUGCUUAACACAUUCAAGUCGAGCGGUAAGGCCUUUCGGGGUCCACGAGCGGCGAACGGGUGAGUAACACGUGGGUGAUCUGCCCUGCACUUCGGGAUAAGCCUGGGAAACUGGGUCUAAUACCGGAUAUGACCUCCUAUCGCAUGGUGGGUGGUGGAAAGAUUUAUCGGUGCAGGAUGGGCCCGCGGCCUAUCAGCUUGUUGGUGGGGUAAUGGCCUACCAAGGCGACGACGGGUAGCCGACCUGAGAGGGUGACCGGCCACACUGGGACUGAGACACGGCCCAGACUCCUACGGGAGGCAGCAGUGGGGAAUAUUGCACAAUGGGCGAAAGCCUGAUGCAGCGACGCCGCGUGAGGGAUGACGGCCUUCGGGUUGUAAACCUCUUUCAGCAGGGACGAAGCGCAAGUGACGGUACCUGCAGAAGAAGCACCGGCUAACUACGUG